CCUACGGGAGGCAGCAGUGGGGAAUAUUGGACAAUGGGGGCAACCCUGAUCCAGCAAUGCCGCGUGUGUGAUGAAGGCCUUAGGGUUGUAAAGCACUUUCACUGGUGAAGAUGAUGACGGUAACCAGAGAAGAAGCCCCGGCUAACUUCGUGCCAGCAGCCGCGGUAAUACGAAGGGGGCGAGCGUUGUUCGGAAUUACUGGGCGUAAAGGGAGCGCAGGCGGUUCAUUAAGUUAGGCGUGAAAGCCCCGGGCUCAACCUGGGAACUGCGCUUAAUACUGAUGAACUAGAAAACAGGAGAGGGUAGUGGAAUUUCCAGUGUAGAGGUGAAAUUCGUAGAUAUUGGAAAGAACACCGGUGGCGAAAGCGGCUACCUGGCCUGAUUUUGACGCUGAGGCUCGAAAGCGUGGGGAGCAAACAGGAUUAGAUACCCUGGUAGUCCACGCCGUAAACGAUGACAGCUAGAUGUCGGGGGGUUGCCCCUCGGUGUCGCCGCUAACGCAUUAAGCUGUCCGCCUGGGAAGUACGGUCGCAGGAUUAAAACUCAAAGGAAUUGACGG
Molecule: ribosomal RNA, 559 nt
Filed under: uncultured Alphaproteobacteria bacterium
Lineage: Bacteria; Pseudomonadati; Pseudomonadota; Alphaproteobacteria
Description: bacterial SSU rRNA
Rfam family: Bacterial small subunit ribosomal RNA
Source: RNAcentral